AUAAUAAGAAAUAAUAUCUAUAAUUAUAAUAAAAAUAAUAUUUUAAAUACAUAAUUAAUAAAACAAUACAUGUAAAUGUAUUUUUCACAUUGUAAUACCCAAUUUUACUAAGCCUAAAGCCCAAACCCAUUACAAGCCCAAGUCACUAACCCAAAUCCCAGCCUAACCCUAAGCAGUGGCUAACAGCAGAUUGGCGCCGCAGCAACUGCCUACGCCGUAGCAACCGUUCUACUGCCCACGUUGUGCUUGCACGACACACCUCCUUCACGUUCUCCUUCACCUGCAAUAAACCACAGACAGUAGGUGUAACUGAGAAGGGAACAAAUUGUAAAAAAGGAUUUGGCUAUAAAAAGCCAAUGAAUUUUUGUAAUAGGGGUUAGCAAAUUUUGUAUUGAAAUUAAAGAAAAUAAAACAGAAAAAAACAGAAAAGCAAGGAUUUUGAAGGUGAUUUUCUGGGUCUAUUUUUUUUCUUACUCACUGAUUUCUUUGUUUGUUUUUUUUUCUUUUCCUUUGCACACCAAACAAAAAUAAAAGGAGGAGGAGAAAUCCUUACCAAAAGAGGCGCGCUGUCGACAUCUUUGCUUCUCUUCGUCCAAAUCGAAGUUGGAAGGGGGGAGUUUGGCUUGAAAACAGAGGAGAAGGUGGAGCAGUCCUUGUGGUGGCUGCUGUUGCAGAAAAGGGAAAUGAUUUUCGGGUUUUAAAAUUGUAACACCCCCUAACCCCAAAUCGUCGCCGGAAUAGGAUUACGAGGCAUUACCGGACAUAUCAAACAAUUUACAAAUAAAUCGAAAUAAAUAACCAACAUAUUAAAAUAAUUCAUAAAUUGUUAUAAAUUUGUACUAAUUGAUUUCAUUCAUUUUUUUUUUAUAAAAAUUUCGGCAGCAUUUCGACUUAUUUUUACAUUAAACCCCCUGCAAAAUUUCAAACAUAACCAACCCAAUUUCAGUAUUUCAACCAAUGCAUUUAUAUACUUAAUCCUACUUGACAUAUAGACAUAACAACUUAAGUAAAUAAAAUCCUAUUAUCAUUUCUAAUUAACACAUAAAACUAACUAAGCCAUUUCAACUUGAUACCAAUGCUAUAAAAAUAACUUAUACCAUUUUUCUAAUAUAAUCAUCAAAACACAUAAUAUCUUACUUUAUAACAAAACUAUAUAACAUGUCAAAAUAACUAUUAUAAAUCCUAUGUACAUGCCACUUUCUCUUAAAGGAAGAAAACAUCACCAAAAUCUUUAUGUCGGAGUCGGGAUUGUCCUGGAUACUGAACCGAGACUCUAACCCCUUUUCAACCUGCGCACGGAAACAACCGUACGCUGAGUAUUUUAUACUCAGUGGUAUUACUAUAAAUUAAACUAUUUAAUAAUAAUAAUAUUUCAAAUAUUGACCAUAGUCUUUAAAAAUCACUUUAAACUAAAUAUAAAUAUUCAUAUAUCAUUCCAUAAAUCUUAAAUUUAUAUAUUUAAAUAUUUACAUACUAAAUCAAUUCAUAAUUUAUAUCAUACAUNNNNN
RNAcentral lists this long non-coding RNA (1508 nucleotides) under Gossypium raimondii (Peruvian cotton). Its description in RNAcentral is "long non-coding RNA (GRAI_LNC006062)". The record is from RNAcentral. Lineage: Eukaryota; Viridiplantae; Streptophyta; Magnoliopsida; Malvales; Malvaceae.